CCGGGGGGCGCGCCCCGGGCGGGGCGGGGGCACGGGGGGAACGCGAAGAACCUUACCUACCCUUGACAUGGCAGGAAUCCUGGAGAGAUUGGGGAGUGCCCGAAAGGGACCCUGCACACAGGUGCUGCAUGGCUGUCGUCAGCUCGUGUCGUGAGAUGUUGGGUUAAGUCCCGCAACGAGCGCAACCCUUGUCAUUAGUUGCUACGAAAGGGCACUCUAAUGAGACUGCCGGUGACAAACCGGAGGAAGGUGGGGAUGACGUCAAGUCCUCAUGGCCCUUAUGGGUAGGGCUUCACACGUCAUACAAUGGUACAUACAGAGGGCCGCCAACCCGCGAGGGGGAGCUAAUCCCAGAAAGUGUAUCGUAGUCCGGAUUUGUAGUCUGCAACUCGACUGCAUGAAGUUGGAAUCGCUAGUAAUCGCGGAUCAGCAUGUCGCGGUGAAUACGUUCCCGGGUCUG
Molecule: ribosomal RNA, 460 nt
Filed under: uncultured bacterium
Lineage: Bacteria
Description: bacterial SSU rRNA
Rfam family: Bacterial small subunit ribosomal RNA
Source: RNAcentral